RNAcentral lists this ribosomal RNA (460 nucleotides) under uncultured bacterium. RNAcentral's name for it is "partial 16S ribosomal RNA". It matches the Rfam family "Bacterial small subunit ribosomal RNA", at positions 338 to 795 of the family's 1533-position model. The record is from RNAcentral.
CCUACGGGGUGCAGCAGUGAGGAAUAUUGGUCAAUGGAGGAGACCCUGAACCAGCCGCGUAGCGUGAAGGAUGACUGCCCUACGGGUUGUAAACUCCUUUCAUAAAGGAAUAAAGUGAGGCACGUGUGCCUUUUUGUACGUACUUUAUGAAUAAGGCUCGGCCAACUCCGUGCCAGCAGCCGCGGUAAUAAGGAGGAUCCGAGCGUUAUCCGGAUUUAUUGGGUUUAAAGGGAGCGUAGAUGGGUUGUUAAGUCAGUUGUGAAAGUUUGCGGCUCAACCGUAAAACUGCAAUUGAUACUGGCAGCCUUGAGUGCAGGUGGGGUAGGCGGAAUUCGUGGUGUAGCGGUGAAAUGCGUAGAUAUCACGAAGAACUCCGGUUGCGAAGGCAGGUUACUAGACUGCCACUGACAUUGAUGCUCGAAAGUGUGGGUAGCAAACAGGAUUAGAUACCCGGGUAGUC